GGCACUAAAAUUGGAUUCCUGGAGAAAUUUAGCAGCAGCAGUAUGGAGAAAUUUUAGCUUUCUUGGCACUAAAAUUGAGGUUUUAAAAUGUUUCGAUGAUUAAUGUACUGUUGGUGCAUGAGCUAUCAACUUAAUUAGACGUUUAAUAAAUGGUUGAGGGAAAGCAGAAAGACGUUCCCAGAAAAAUAAGAUCCCUAGUAUUGGUCGAGUGGAGAAUGUUUAUUUAGGCUCUUGUUAGUAACAAUUCUUUCCGGGCUUGUGUCUUAAUUGUUUUAUGGAUAUUUUGUUCACUUGUAUCCUUAUUAGAUUAUUUAUGGGUUUGACUCAACUCGCCAACUUUUCGGCGAGAAUGGAAUGCAAAAUUUCUUCAUAUAGGCU
This 378-nucleotide long non-coding RNA is filed under the name Phoenix dactylifera (date palm). RNAcentral's name for it is "long non-coding RNA (PDAC_LNC002188)". The record is from RNAcentral. Lineage: Eukaryota; Viridiplantae; Streptophyta; Magnoliopsida; Arecales; Arecaceae.